RNAcentral lists this ribosomal RNA (405 nucleotides) under uncultured bacterium. RNAcentral describes it as "partial 16S ribosomal RNA". It matches the Rfam family "Bacterial small subunit ribosomal RNA", at positions 28 to 526 of the family's 1533-position model. The record is from RNAcentral.
GACGAACGCUGGCGGCGUGCUUAACACAUGCAAGUCGAGCGGAGCGGCGAACGGGUGAGUAACGCGUGAGUAACUGCCCCCCUCUCUGGGAUAACAGCUGGAAACGGCUGCUAAUACCGGCUAGUGGGGGAUGACUCGCGUCCAAUCAGCUUGUUGGUGGGGUAGUGGCCUACCAAGGCGACGACGGGUAGCCGGCCUGAGAGGGCGAACGGCCACACUGGGCUGAGAGACGGCGCAAACGGCUACGGGAGGCAGCAGUGGGGAAUAUUGCACAAUAGGGGAAAGCCUGAUGCAGAGCCGCCGCGUGCGGAAUGACGGGCUUCGGGGUGUAAACCGCUUUCAGCCAUGACGCGGUAGUGGCAGAAGAAGCAACGGCUAACUACGUGCCAGCAGCCGCGGUAAUAC